RNAcentral lists this unclassified non-coding RNA (1320 nucleotides) under Hevea brasiliensis (rubber tree). The record is from RNAcentral. Lineage: Eukaryota; Viridiplantae; Streptophyta; Magnoliopsida; Malpighiales; Euphorbiaceae.
UGAGCAUGGAACUCAGCUAUCUGGUGGUCAGAAGCAGAGAAUUGCAAUUGCAAGAGCAAUCCUGAAGGACCCUCGAAUUUUACUUUUAGAUGAAGCUACCAGUGCACUUGAUGCAGAAUCUGAAAGGGUAGUUCAAGAGGCACUAGACAGGAUUAUGGUCAACCGAACAACUGUUAUUGUUGCCCAUCGUCUGAGUACAAUUAGGAAUGCUGAUGUAAUUGCUGUCAUCCACUGUGGAAAGAUCGUUGAAAAAGGUAUCUUACGUUUACACUAUGAGCUUACUUUUUGACAUAUACUGCAAUCUCAAAUAUGCUUGUCAUCUAGUAGUAAAGUUUUUGUUGCCAAAUUGGUUUAUCUUGUCUUCACAUUGUCACGUAUCCUCCACAGUUUCAAACUCUGAAAUGUAUAUCGUGUAUUUUCAUUCAUUUUGCGAGUUCUUAAUGCAGAGCCAGGAUCGUGAUUCAUUUUCCAAAACUCCUAUUUGUUUACUGAAAUUUCCAUAAAAAUUUGAGAAUUGUGAGUAUAUCAAACCUCGUGGAUGUUGUGUAUUGGGUUACUUUUUUUCUGUACAAAUAAAUUAGUUGUGAAAAUUUCAGCUUUGUUUAGAAUAUUGUCCUGUUUAGGUAGAAUAUUUAUUAUUUGUCAUGGCUCCAAUUUAUUCUUGCGAGUUUAAUCCACAAUAAUGUAAUUUAAUUUGUUUUUGUUUGAUUAGGCUCACAUUCAGAGCUACUCUCGGAUCCUGAUGGUGCAUACUCUCAACUAAUACGGUUACAAGAGUUAAAUAAAGAUUCAGAACGUGUAGCAGAGGACCAUAAAAGAUCAGAUCUUUCUUCUGAAUCCUUUAGACAGUCAAGUCAAAGAAUUUCACUGCAACGAUCCAUUAGUCAGGGAUCAUCUGGAGUAGGAAAUAGCAGUCGCCAUUCAUUCUCAGUCUCAUUUGGCUUACCUACAGGAAUUAAUGUCACUGAAAAUUCCCACGAACAAUAUGACUUUUCUCCACCAAAAGGAAAAACUCCAGAGGUCCCAAUCCAUAGGCUUGCAUAUCUUAACAAGCCUGAGAUUCCUGUGCUUGCACUUGGAACUAUAGCUGCCUGUAUCAGCGGUGUUAUAUUUCCAGUUUUCGGCAUACUCCUUUCCAGAGUGAUUAAAUCAUUUUAUGAACCACCUCAUGAAUUAAGAAAGGAUACGAAGUUCUGGUCAUUUAUUUUUAUGGUGCUUGGGGUGACAUCAUUUUUUGCACUUCCGUCACGAUUUUACUUCUUUGGUGUGGCUGGAAAUAGACUAAUUCAACGUAUUCGAACGAUUUGCUUUGAGAAGGUA